CAGUCGCCGCGGUAAUACAGAGGGUGCGAGCGUUAAUCGGAUUUACUGGGCGUAAAGCGUGCGUAGGCGGCUUCUUAAGUCGGAUGUGAAAUCUCUGAGCUUAACUUAGGAAUUGCAUUCGAUACUGGGAAGCUAGAGUAUGGGAGAGGAUGGUAGAAUUCCAGGUGUAGCGGUGAAAUGCGUAGAGAUCUGGAGGAAUACCGAUGGCGAAGGCAGCCAUCUGGCCUAAUACUGACGCUGAGGUACGAAAGCAUGGGGAGCAAACAGGAUUAGAUACCCCCGUAGUCCCUGUCUCUUAUAA
Molecule: ribosomal RNA, 301 nt
Filed under: uncultured bacterium
Lineage: Bacteria
Description: partial 16S ribosomal RNA
Rfam family: Bacterial small subunit ribosomal RNA
Source: RNAcentral